GGAGAUGUGGCCGAGUGGUUGAAGGCGCACGACUCGAAAUCGUGUAUGCGGAAACGUAUCGGGGGUUCGAAUCCCUUCAUCUCCGCCA
This 88-nucleotide transfer RNA is filed under the name Candidatus Saccharimonadota bacterium. RNAcentral's name for it is "tRNA-Ser". It matches the Rfam family "tRNA". Rfam says of the family: Transfer RNA (tRNA) molecules are approximately 80 nucleotides in length. The record is from RNAcentral. Lineage: Bacteria; Candidatus Saccharimonadota.